This 483-nucleotide ribosomal RNA is filed under the name uncultured bacterium. RNAcentral's name for it is "partial 16S ribosomal RNA". It matches the Rfam family "Bacterial small subunit ribosomal RNA", at positions 28 to 523 of the family's 1533-position model. The record is from RNAcentral.
GACGAACGCUGGCGGCGUGCUUAACACAUGCAAGUCGAACGAUGAAGCCGCUUCGGUGGUGGAUUAGUGGCGAACGGGUGAGUAACACGUGGGCAAUCUGCCCUGCACACUGGGACAAGCCCUGGAAACGGGGUCUAAUACCGGAUACGACCACCGGCCGCAUGGCCUGGUGGUGGAAAGCUCUGGUGGUGCAGGAUGAGCCCGCGGCCUAUCAGCUUGUUGGUGGGGUGAUGGCCUACCAAGGCGACGACGGGUAGCCGGCCUGAGAGGGCGACCGGCCACACUGGGACUGGGACACGGCCCAGACUCCUACGGGAGGCAGCAGUGGGGAAUAUUGCACAAUGGGCGCAAGCCUGAUGCAGCGACGCCGCGUGAGGGAUGACGGCCUUCGGGUUGUAAACCUCUUUCAGCAGGGAAGAAGCUUUCGGGUGACGGUACCUGCAGAAGAAGCACCGGCUAACUACGUGCCAGCCGCCGCCGUAA